Phrynosoma platyrhinos (Desert horned lizard) is the source of this 71-nucleotide non-coding RNA. The record is from the annotation of a GenBank genome assembly. NCBI's taxonomy places the organism in Eukaryota, Metazoa, Chordata, Lepidosauria, Squamata, Phrynosomatidae.
GGCAGAAUGGUGUAAUGGUUUGAGCACUGGACUAUGACUCUGGAGAUCAGGGUUUGAUUCCCGCUCAGCCA